This is a long non-coding RNA of Camelus dromedarius (Arabian camel), 1021 nucleotides long. RefSeq lists it as uncharacterized. NCBI's taxonomy places the organism in Eukaryota, Metazoa, Chordata, Mammalia, Artiodactyla, Camelidae. The transcript has 3 exons. The record is from RefSeq and is a predicted model, not a curated record.
GGGGCCGGGACUCUGACGGUGAAGUCCACGCGGAGGGCGUCCUCGCCGCCGCUUCCGCGCCCAGAACCCACCUGUCCGGGCUGAGACUCUGCGGUUGGGUCCAGCCGGGGGCCAGCUGGGUGGCCCCGCAGCCACCAGCCGGGCUCGGUCCAUUUUUGACCUAAAAGACUAGAUACGAGGCGAAGGGGCUCGGCGCGAAGCGGGCCGGAGGUCGUCCUAUUUCACACGCACCCUCAAGCCCAAAGGCAUCCUAGAUCUCGUGCCCUCUGUGGGAACCUCUUCCCCUGGGCGGGAACCCCAGACUCUGUCCACUGAGUCAGUCCAGGGGCGACGGGGGAGGGGUUAGAGAAGAGCAUCUAGUGAGAGCAUUGUCACUAUUAUUUACCCUAAUUAAGUUUAACUGUUCGCUUGUCAUUUCUUUGCUAUUUGGAAUGGAAGUGCUGAGGUGCUGAGAAGUAAAAACGUUAAGAGGAAAUAGGACCAAAGCCUUGGGGCGCAGCCCUGCCCCACUCCCAGGUGUUCCUUUAGGCUUCCCCGUUCGUCAGUCAACCCCCUCCCCCCACAUCCACCCCACCUUUUGCCAUCUGGGCUCCAGGUCCUGGACGUCCUGUCGAGAUCAGUGGGGCCAAAGGUGGGAAGACAAUGGCCCUUGUGUCUCAAGGAGCAGAAGAAAGAGUUGUCAACUUUUGUUUUGCUUUUGCUUUUUUCAGGAGGAAUAUGGAAGUUAUUUCCUUUCAGAGGGAUGGGAUCACUUAAGAUGGAAGAUUGACGACUGAUGAGGCCUGGGGAAGAAAGAUGGAGAAUGGGGCAGAAUGCCUCUACCUGGAUAUGAAAGCAAACCACGUAUGUCCCUCGUUCAUCUCCAGCCAAGGCUUGUGAAACAGUACAUGGAGGGUAAGGAGACAGACCGAUACAAAUGCAUCCAGGAGGCUCAGAUACCCAUCAGCAACAAAUGCACAGCAAUCAAGUAAAUCCACAGUUAAGCAAACAAAACCAAGGCGGAGCCCUGAAUACCUUUUUC